RNAcentral lists this ribosomal RNA (459 nucleotides) under uncultured bacterium. Its description in RNAcentral is "bacterial SSU rRNA". It matches the Rfam family "Bacterial small subunit ribosomal RNA", at positions 338 to 795 of the family's 1533-position model. The record is from RNAcentral.
CCUACGGGGGGCAGCAGUGAGGAAUAUUGGUCAAUGGCCGCAGGGCUGAACCAGCCAAGUCGCGUGAGGGAUGACGGUCCUAUGGAUUGUAAACCUCUUUUGUCAGGGAGCAAAGGGCGCCACGUGUGGCGUUUUGCGAGUACCUGAAGAAAAAGCAUCGGCUAACUCCGUGCCAGCAGCCGCGGUAAUACGGAGGAUGCGAGCGUUAUCCGGAUUUAUUGGGUUUAAAGGGUGCGCAGGCGGAAUGUCAAGUCAGCGGUAAAAUUUCGGGGCUCAACCCCGUCGUGCCGUUGAAACUGGCGUUCUUGAGUGAGCGAGAAGUAUGCGGAAUGCGUGGUGUAGCGGUGAAAUGCAUAGAUAUCACGCAGAACUCCGAUUGCGAAGGCAGCAUACCGGCGCUCAACUGACGCUCAUGCACGAAAGCGUGGGUAUCGAACAGGAUUAGAUACCCCGGUAGUC